Molecule: non-coding RNA, 712 nt
Organism: Marmota flaviventris (yellow-bellied marmot)
Lineage: Eukaryota; Metazoa; Chordata; Mammalia; Rodentia; Sciuridae
Source: RefSeq, a predicted model, not a curated record
CAUGAUGACCUGCCUCUGCCAUUUUUCUUUCAAAGAUGUGUCUCUCCAGUGUUGAAUAAAGCAUCACUGGUCCACGAGGUCUCCCUCCAUUUUUCUGUUUCUUUUUGUAUUCUCCCUGAAUGGGAGCAGGAUGUUUUGGGGGUUAUUUUUACCCCUCCCCAUUCCAAUGAAACUCCAUUUUUUUCUCUUUCUUCAUGAGACCUCCAGGUCAGAGGACACUUUCUGUCGUUUUGGUCCUGCAUGCAACAAGGAUCAUCUCUUCCUCAGACAAAAGCAACUUCUGGACAAAGUGACUUGUCUAACCGAGACCACCUCCCACGAACAUGCAAAAGUCAUUCUCUUUCACUCACUGACACUCCUGAGCCCCAUGAGGAAGGAAUCACCAACAAAUAUGUAUAUCUGACAUGGGAUCCCCUACUGCGCCCUUUCCAGCAAGAAGUAACCAGAUAUGAGGACAUUGCACCCCAACUCAUUAUCCCCUUUCAGAGUCUGGGAAUGAAGGAUAAGUUUGCCUACCUGUCCUCCCGCCCCAACCUAAACCCCUGUCAUGACAUGGCCCCUCCCACCAAAAGGGCCUGCCAAAACUAACUCCUCUCAUGACAUGGUUUGUCUAAAUCCUAUAAAACCCAGUCCCUCCUGAUGAUGGGUCACCACUUUUACCCUGAAGAUGUGCCCCUCUGGUGCUGAAUAAAACAUCAGUCUCGCCAGUUUC